This 700-nucleotide ribosomal RNA is filed under the name uncultured Barnesiella sp. RNAcentral describes it as "bacterial SSU rRNA". It matches the Rfam family "Bacterial small subunit ribosomal RNA", at positions 22 to 707 of the family's 1533-position model. The record is from RNAcentral. Lineage: Bacteria; Pseudomonadati; Bacteroidota; Bacteroidia; Bacteroidales; Barnesiellaceae.
GCUCAGGAUGAACGCUAGCGACAGGCCUAACACAUGCAAGUCGAGGGGCAUCGGGGCGAGGAGCAAUCCUUGCCGCCGGCGACCGGCGCACGGGUGAGUAACGCGUAUGCGACCUGCCCGUUGCAGGGGGAUAAUCGGGAGAAAUCCCGUCUAAUACCGCGUAACGCCGCGGGGCUGCAUGGCCCUGCGGCCAAAGGAAGCGAUUCCGGCAACGGAUGGGCAUGCGUGACAUUAGCUAGUUGGCGGGGCAACGGCCCACCAAGGCGACGAUGUCUAGGGGUUCUGAGAGGAAGGUCCCCCACACUGGUACUGAGACACGGACCAGACUCCUACGGGAGGCAGCAGUGAGGAAUAUUGGUCAAUGGGCGCGAGCCUGAACCAGCCAAGUCGCGUGAGGGAUGACGGCCCUACGGGUUGUAAACCUCUUUUGUCGGGGAGCAAAUUCCGCCACGCGUGGCGGAGUCGAGAGUACCCGAAGAAAAAGCAUCGGCUAACUCCGUGCCAGCAGCCGCGGUAAUACGGAGGAUGCGAGCGUUAUCCGGAUUUAUUGGGUUUAAAGGGUGCGUAGGCGGACUGUCAAGUCAGCGGUAAAAUACGGGGGCUCAACCUCCGCCCGCCGUUGAAACUGACGGUCUUGAGUGGGCGAGAAGUAUGCGGAAUGCGUGGUGUAGCGGUGAAAUGCAUAGAUAUCACGCAGAAC